AGGUCGAAGACUUUUUAUACAUGCCACUAUCGUAUUACGUGAAAUCUUACCUGAGAAUGCAUCGAUCAUCGAGCUCUGGAAGGUAAAAGAAAAUUAUAACAAAAGGUCCUAACAAUCCAAUAGGAUUAUAGAGAAUUUACAAUAAACAUUAAAAAUCAUAAUCAAAUAUUAAGCAAGCUCAAUUAAAUUUUAUUGAAGUUAUAAAAAAAACACAAGAAAAUCCUAAAAAAAUAUAAAAGAAUAUUAAAGAAAACUUAGUCAAACUCUAAUAAAAAUCUAAUAAAAUCUUAAAUUCUAACCAACUCCUAAUCCUAAUCCAACCUUAAUCAAACUCUAGAUAAAUCCUAAACCCUAAACUAAAUCCUAAUCAAAUCUUAAUCAAAUCUUAAUCAAAUCCUAAAUCUUAAACCAAUCCCUAACCAAAUCCUAAUCCUAACAAACAUUAAAUCCUAAACCAAAUCUUAACCAAAUCCUAACUCAAAUCAAAUCCUAAUUAUAGAUUUGAAAAUUAAAUAACUAAAGAUUGAACCAUUGAUUCUAAUUCAAAAUUUAUACACUUCUUAGAAUUUAAGUUAGAAACCAACACACAAAUUUUGAAGAAAAUCACACUCACCAAUUAGUCGAUGACCUCAAAAUUCUACUCGGAUGUCGGUUGGUCUCUCCUAUCUUGUUUCCAACUUUCAGUACUGAUAUCUCCCUUUUCUACCAUUCAAUUUCUUCCAAAUUUUACUUGCAUAUAGGAAAUCAAGUCUUCUAUUGAUAAAACUAAAAAUCUCUCCAAUCCAAUUGGCAGAUUGCUAGAUGUCUAAGAAAACCUUACUGGUCCUCAAAGCCCUAAAUCUCGAGACCUUAGCCCAUAAAAACCUUCAUAUGUAUCGAUCUAGCCAUUCGAUUGACCUCAAAUCUUUUAUACACAUUCACAACAAGCAUACCAAUAAGUCUCUAAAUUUUCACUUGUAAAAAUGCUACAAAAGACACGAAAUCCAAAAAUUUGUAAACCGGUUUUAUUUCUCAAAGUUCUGAAUUCACAGAGAACAUCACUCGCUUUGAAAAUCCCUCAAAAAUCCAAUAUUGAUCCAAACAAUACGAAAUCACCUCUCAAAAAUCCCUCCAUAAGUCUUCUCUCUAAUUUUGCUCUUCAAUCUUCCAAAGAAUCCUGGAGUCGCCAUCAGAGUGCGGUUUUGUGCCUUAGAGUCUGAUUUCGACCCAGGUUCAUAACCGGUCCUCUUCGGGUAUCAACUUUCGUCUUCUUGAGGUAAUUUUUACUAAUUUGCACUUCCAACUUCUCUCUACAUAUGCUUGUGUUCUUUAUUUUUCUAAUCUACCUUGUUUUGUCUUAUUUAUGGCCUUACAAAGUAAAUAGAAGCAUAAUUUGUAAAAAGGCAGCAUUAGCACCUUUAAUUUUUCUAUCCUUUGACUAAUAUCUAUUUUUCCAAGAUAAUUUGCUACAAUAUUUUUGAAGUGAGAUCCUCAAAACAUGAUAUUUUUUUCACCCUUUCACUUGUUAGCCGUAUUACAUCAUGACAUCCACCCCCCAUGAACCUGUGCAUCCUCUAGUAUGCACCAAGUUCGUUCAUUAUAUUGAUAUCGAAUGUUCUUCAUCUUGGUCAAAUUCUUGGUCAAAUUCUUGAUCUUUAUUUUGUUCUUUUUCUUCCAUCUCAAUAUCUCCUAUAAGAUUUUAUUCUUCAUCAAAAAAAAUAUCUUUACCUCUUUGAUUAAACAAUUUGAUUUGCUUGCCUGCUAUUGAUAUCUUUAAAUAUGUACCAUCCAGUUCUCGUAACAAGUAUGUUCCAUUCUCAUGCACUUGUUUGACAACAUAAAGUCCAAAUCAUCUCCUUGUAAAUUUCUUUGCCGUACUAUGUUGGUUGUCCAAACUACUAUCAUAAACCAAUAUCCAAUCACCAUUUUGAAUUGGUUUUGGACGCAAUCGAUGCUUUUUGUCAAACCUCUCCUUGUUUUUUUCUCUCACUUCUUUCAACUUUCUCACAACUACUUCAAUGUCCUCGGGCCUUCUUUCAAGUUGUUAAAUUCGUUAUGCCAAUAACUCUUCUCUUGUUAAACUAUCUUUCCAAUGUAAUAUAGUCCAUGUUGAUAUAACCCCCUCUAUCAACAUUAUCGGUUUUUGAUCAUACAUCAAUUCUGUUGCUAUGAAAAUUAGUAACCGUACUAUAAGUUGUGCGAUCCAUCCAUAAUGCAAAUGGUAAUAAUUUAGGCCAAUCACUUAUCUUGUCUUUGCAUGCUUUAAUCAAUGCUUUAAUAAUCGGAGAAUAUCCACGUUCACUCUUGCCAUUUUCUUUCGGAUUAUAUGCUGUUGUCAAUGCAAGUUUAAUAUCCAUUCUUUCAAAGAAUUCUUGUGCUUCAUUUGCAUCCAAUUCUCCUCUAUCUACAGUGAUUUUUCCAAUACAUCCAUACCAGCAAAUAAUUUCUUUUAAUAUAAACUGGCAUACUCUUUCCAUAGUCUUUGUUGAAAGUGCUCUUCUCUCUACUUGAUUUGUCAAAUCUUCCCGAGCAAGUACCAAAUAUUUCCUCUGACCAAAUCCCAUUGGCAUUACAACUAAAUCAACCACCCAUUUAUAAUGAAUUAUUAAUAGGUAUGUAGGAUGCAAACCAUCUCGAUGAUGAAUAUUUGAAUACAUUUGGCAAGUUUUACAAGAUCCUACAAAAUCCGCCACAUCCCUAUACAUGCCUUUCUAUCAAUAUUUUUCUUUCAACUUAAUAAAUGUUGCCCAAAUACCUCGAUGGCUUAUCCAUAAACUUUCAUGAAAUUCCUUAAUAAUCUUUUGUUGAGCUUCUAAACCACAUAUCACUCGUUGUGGUACUUCUCCUCUCUUCUUUGGAUGCUUCCAUAAAUACCCAUCGUGUAAAAAAUAUCCAUAGGCUUUCUUUCGGAUUUUCUUAAAUUCUUGAUCUGUCCAACCAUCUUGUCACUUUAAUAUGCUUAAAUACUCUCCAAUGUCUUUCCAUUUUUCUUCAUAUAGAUCUCUUGAAAAUAUUUCUAAUUGUAUAUUCAAACAUAUACUUUCUUCCUUUGAUAAUUCAUUAGUAUAAAAAUAUGUAUCCACAUCAUCUUUUAAAUCUAUCAUAUCUUCUUCAUCGUAAUAUCUUGCUCCUGAUAACAUAUCUACGACUGAAUUUUCUUUUCAUGUAAUAUGUUUAAAUUCUAAAUUUAUAGAUUUGAUAUAUGCCAUCCACCUUUACAUAGCAAUAUCGAGAGUUGAACAACUUGUAAUCAUACCCAAUAAAGGUAGACAAUUUGUUUCUAAAACUACUGAUGUAUCAAUCAAAUAUUCCCUAUCAUUUUUCAUAGCUAUUACUACACCCCAUAAUUCUCUUUUGAUUUGUGCAUAUAUCCUUUGUCUAGCAUUCAAAACCUUUGCUCCAAAUCUUACUACAUAUUUAUUCCUUUGUUCAUCAUCUUGUCCAACUGUUCAACUUAUUCUAAUUGGACUUGCAUCAGCUGUUAAUAUUAUUGGCCUUCCACAUUCAUAAUUUAUUUUCUUCAAAGUUGGAGGUGAAGAAAGAAAUUCUUUUAACUUUGCCAUAACUUUUCUUUGUUCUUUUUUUCAUUGAAAUUUUUGAUUCUUUUGUAACAACUCAUAUAAUGGAUCUGCUAUAUGUACAAAAUGAGGUAUCCAUAUAUGAUAGAAAAUACAUGCUCCUAAAAACCUCCUAACUUUCGUCGUAUUUACAGACUCUUGGAUUUUUUUAUAAUAUCAAAUUUUUUCUUACUUGGUUUGCGCCCAUAUGAACGACACAUGUGUCCUACUAUCAAAACUUCUUUUACUCCAAAUAUUGAUUUUGUCCCUGAUAAGGUUAAAUGAACUUCUUCUAGCCUUGUUAAAAUCUUCUCACAAUCAUCAAUAUGAUCUGCCACAAACUUCCUACAUCCCUUUGAAUCUAAUGUCUCAUCCUUUCUUUCUUCUUCACAUCCCUUAAUUGACACAUCAUCUAGAAUAGGCAUUAUUAUUCUUGAAAUAAAAUCUCUUAGUACCUUAUGCAUUCCAUUCAUCACGUGUGCCACAGAAUUUGUAGCUCCUUGUAGUAACGUACACAUUCUGACCAAUCCCAAUGGUGUCUUCAUAGUUGUCAAAUCUCUACUUUACAUUGCCAAUUGAAAUUGAUCGUAUCCUGAGUAAAGAUCUCCCAUAGAAUAAAUUGAUCUCCCUACAAAUGCCUCUGCAAACUCAUCCACAAUUGGACUCGAGCCCAUGUUUCUAAUAGUUAUUUUAUUUACCGGUUGCAUAUCUUGAAUAAACCUCAAUGUUCCUAUUUUUCUUAGGUACUUUGAACCACCGAUUGGAAUAUGGUGCAAUAGAUGGUUCUAAAAUUUCCAUCUUAAUUUUUUCAUUGAGUAAUUCAACUGGCUUUGGUAAAUGGCCCUUUGGAAUUGGAAUUGGCCUCAAAUUCCAUGGUUCAUGCGGAAUUGUAAAAAUAACCAUAGGUGCUACAAUACUCGGAUUAAUGCACCUUAUUUCAUGUGAUUCAAAUGUAAAUACUUUACCAUGUUGUGAAAGCAUUUCUUUAAAAAAUCUCUCUUCAUCUCUUGUCAAAAAUUUAUCACAUCCAAUUUUUAAACCAUCUAACGUCAAAUUAUCGUUGAAUUCAUGACCUAUUUUUCUUGGAUCUCUUAAGUAAGGUUGCAUAGAAGCCUCUUUAAUCCUUUCCUCAUAAUCCAAUGGUAGUAGCAAUGCCACUGGUUUAACCUUCCUUGCAAUAGUCUUGUAUUUUGUGUUCACCUUCACUUCAUACCUAUCCAUAUAUUCUUUUAUUUCAUCAUAAAAUUGCUUAAAAUGGACAUUUAUUACUUUAUCACUUCUUUUAAAAUCUCCAUUCAAUAAUAUUUGUAAAUCAUCCAUAAUAUCACCAAAACAAGAUUCUUCAAACAUCCCUGAUAUGUAUUCAUCUUCAUCAAUCAUUCCACAUUUCUUUAAUCCAUGUUCUACAUUCUUAACAUUUUUCUUAUCUAUCCUACUAAAAUUAUUUAUGUUUUUGAAUAAAAUAUAUCCGUCUCACAUUAAUCCUAUAAUAUCUUCAUCUUUUCUAUUAGGCGGGAAGCCUUCACUCUUUUUACCAUUGCAAUCCCGCUUUACAAUGGCGUCUAGUAAAAAUCCUUUGAAUCUUCAAGAUCUUCAAAUUAUUUAUGUAUCUUUGGCAAAAGAUGUUCCCUCAAACUAUCCCUAUUUCUUCCAUGAUUUGUACAAACUAUUAAAAAUUGCACUGCCCUCUUUCCGUCUUGACUUCUUAUCUUUGCAUAAGCUGAUACAUCAUCCAUAACCUUUGCCUCCAUUCAUGUAGCAGUAAUAUAUGGUUGUCCUAAUAUAAUAGGAUAUGUAGACAUAUCUUGUAUAAAGAAAUUUUGUUCAUGAAUAACAUCUCCUACUGUCACCUUGAUAUUUGGACAAGCUCCUUACAAAUUUCCCUUUGAAAUAUUUGCUGCUCUUAUCAUCCACCUAUGCUCAAUAUCAAUAGGCCAAUUUUCCUUUUUAUAUAAUUCUGUUGACAUUAAAUUUAUUUCAGAACCAUGAUCAAUCAAUGCUACAAUUGGUUCUUCUAAAUCUCCGAAUUUUACUAAAGUUUCUGUAGUAGUCCUUUCCCAAUGACUCCAAGAAUAAUGAUUAGAAGCUUGAAUCAUAUCUUCUUUUCUUGUAAAUUUGACUCGUGAAACAUCUCCAAUAAUUUGUAUUUCAAUUUCUUCAUCUUCAUUACUUCCUAUUAUCUUUGUACCUUGUGCAUUUGAUUUCAUAGUAUCACCAAUAGAUUGCCGUUUUCUUUUUAUUGUAUCAAUAACAACUUCAUGAAAUUCUCAUUUUGUAAUUCCUAGAAUUUUAUCAAUUGGAAAUUCAACCUUUCCACUUAAAAUCUGCUCCUCCAAUACUUUCUUCAAAUCUGUAGCAGCUUCAAUAUCUGAUUGUAAUUUAUAAGCAGGAACCUUUAUUUUUCUUUCACAAUCUCUCUCUCUUUUGUAGAAAUAUUCUCUAUUGUCUCUUCAUGCAUAGGAUUCUUCUGUUGUCGAGUUUUAUAUCUUCUUGUGAUUCUUUUUGAUGGCCUUUCAUGAUUUUCAUCUCUCCUUCAUUUUUCUUCUAUUAAUGCUUAAUGUUGACUACUUACAAUAUGAGCAUGAACUGAUAAUAUAUCUACUGGAUCAUCCCACCCAGUAAUUUGCUGAAUGUCAUUGCCAACAUGUUUUAGAUCAUCUCUAGUAAAAUUUCCCUUUUAGCAUAAUUCAUUGCACUUGACUAUAAAGAACUAGAUUCUCUUGGAUACUCAAGAUUUAUACUUAAGCAUUUGCUUGGAUUUGCCUCCACUCAAAAUGUUGAUGCUUCAUUGCUUGAAAUUGUAUGCACCUUGAAAUCAUCUCCUACAAAUACCUUCAUUCUCCCUUUACCAAAAUUUGUCUCUAAUUUUUCUCCACUCUCUUUUAAGUGUAUCAUACCAUCUUUAAAUAAAAUAACUCCUUUGUGUAGUACCUCUGAAAAAUCCUCACACUCCUUUCUUGAAUGAUCUAUGCUAUUACACCACAUACACCUAUACACCAUACCUUCUAUUGGUCUUAAAUUUUAUCUUAUUGAUAUUCUUGAUGCUUGAUCCAUCUCUUCAAGUUUUGCAAAUUUUAUUUGUACAUGUCUCAUCUCUCGUAUGAUUUCAUCAAUGCCCAUUUCUUCUCUCUUUGAUGUAGCCAUUGAAGGUUGAAUCAUAUAUGUAUGAUAGAUAGCAAGCAUUUUUCUUUUAGAUGCUUGCAAUGGUCUUUAAAUUUCCAUCCUAUCUUUUCUCCUUUCUCUUUUUGCAAGCGCUCCAAUCGCCUCUUCUACUUUCUCCCAUUUUCUUGUCAAUCCUUCAACUUCUUCUUUAUCUUCCAGCAAAAUUUCCAACUUCUCUUGCAACUCUCCAUUAGCCACUUGAAGAAAAAGCUCUACUUUACUUAGAUCUAAUAAUUGCCUCUCUUUCUUUGUUAAAUAAGAAUAUUACUUUUCAAACUCCCUUAGUAACUCCAUUGCUAGUAGAUCCUUCUUAGACCUUUCAAUACAUUCAAAAAAUGACUUCUUUGUAACUUGGUCACUAUCUUCUAAAAAAUAUUCAUUCUUUAAUGCUUGAAAUAAUUUUUCCCAUGAACCUCCAGAAUGUCCUAUAAUGGACUUCACAUGAUUUUUUAUUUCUGGUGCAAUAGCCAAUUCAAAUAGCUGAACCAUCUCUUUCUCUGAAACAUGCUUAUAUUCCAUUUCUUUUACGUAAUACCUUAAAUAUUUUGUAAUAUUCUUCCCUUCAAAUUGAUCAAUCUUGUCUACAACAGCUUGUAAUACUUUGUCUACUAUACCUUCUUUGCGAUCCUUAACAUGUUGUUGUUGCAUGAAUAAGGCCAAUGCCUCAAAUAUGCUUGCAGAGUUGGGAUCAAAAUACAUACCUUUUCUUUCAAUUGAAGCUCCACUUCCAACUCCACUUGAAGCACCACCAAAAGCUCUUCUUUCCAUUCUCUUACCAUUCUUCUCCAUAAUCCAAAUAGAUCAAAGAAACUCCAAAUACCUCCCACUUCAAGUAUUUCACGUCAGGUUCACCAAAUAAGUCGUAUUACAUGAAGUCUUGCUUGAGAAUGCACCAAGCACCUAGCUAUAGAAGAUAAAAGAAAAUUGCAACAAAAGGUCCUAACAAUCCAAUAGGAUUAUAGAGAAUUUAUAAUUAAACGUUAACAAUCAUAAUCAAAUAUUAAACAAGCUCAAUUAAAUUUUAUUGAAGUUAUAAAAAAAACACAAGAAAAUCCUAAAGAAAUAUAAAAGAAUAUUAAAGAAAAUUUAGUCAAACCCUAAUAAAAAUCUAAUAAAAUCUUAAAUUUUAACCAACUCCUAAUCUUAAUCCAACCUUAAUCAAAUCCUAGAUAAAUCCUAAAUCCUAAACCAAACCCUAAUCAAACCUUAAUCAAAUCCUAAACCUUAAAUCAAUCCCUAAUCAAAUCCUAACCCUAAAAAAUCCUAAACCUUAAAUCAAUCCCUAAUCAAAUCCUAACCCUAACAAAUAUUAAACCCUAAACCAAAUCCUAACCAAAUCCUAACUCAAAUCAAAUCCUAAUUAUAGAUUUGAAAAUUAAAUAACUAAAGAUUGAACCAUUGAUUCUAAUUCAAAAUUUA
Molecule: long non-coding RNA, 8117 nt
Filed under: Physcomitrium patens
Lineage: Eukaryota; Viridiplantae; Streptophyta; Bryopsida; Funariales; Funariaceae
Description: long non-coding RNA (PPAT_LNC009233)
Source: RNAcentral